This 112-nucleotide transfer RNA is filed under the name Candidatus Woesearchaeota archaeon. RNAcentral describes it as "tRNA-Ser". The record is from RNAcentral. Lineage: Archaea; Nanobdellati; Candidatus Woesearchaeota.
GCCACGGUCGCAUAGUCUGGUAUUGCGCUAGAUUGCUAAUCUAGUCCCUUUGGGAUCGCCGGUUCAAAUUGCAUUAAGAUUAUCUUUUUGCUUGGAUGUCCGGCCCGUGGCG